AGAGUUUGAUCCUGGCUCAGGAUGAACGCUAGCGGCAGGCUUAACACAUGCAAGUCGAGGGGCAGCGGGGAGGAAGCUUGCUUUCUCCGCCGGCGACCGGCGCACGGGGUGAGUAACACGUAUGCAACCUGCCCCUGUCAGGGGGACAACCCGCCGAAAGGCGGGCUAAACCCGCGUACAUGCCACCGGGGCAUCCCGGAGGCAGGAAAGGCUUCGGCCGGACAGGGAUGGGCAUGCGGCGCAUUAGGCAGUAGGCGGGGUAACGGCCCACCUAACCGACGAUGCGUAGGGGUUCUGAGAGGAAGGUCCCCCACACUGGUACUGAGACACGGACCAGACUCCUACGGGAGGCAGCAGUGAGGAAUAUUGGUCAAUGGUCGGGAGACUGAACCAGCCAAGCCGCGUGAGGGAUGAAGGUACAGAGUAUCGUAAACCUCUUUUGUCAGGGAACAAAGGCGGGGACGCGUCCCCGGAUGAGUGUACCUGAAGAAAAAGCAUCGGCUAACUCCGUGCCAGCAGCCGCGGUAAUACGGAGGAUGCGAGCGUUAUCCGGAUUUAUUGGGUUUAAAGGGUGCGCAGGCGGUCCGUUAAGUCAGCGGUCAAAGCCCGGGGCUCAACCCCGGCCCGCCGUUGAAACUGGCAGUCUCGAGUUGGAGAGAAGUAUGCGGAAUGCGCGGUGUAGCGGUGAAAUGCAUAGAUAUCGCGCAGAACUCCGAUUGCGAAGGCAGCAUGCCGGCUCCACACUGACGCUGAGGCACGAAAGCGUGGGUAUCGAACAGGAUUAGAUACCCUGGUAGUCCACGCAGUAAACGAUGAAUGCUGGCUGUCCGGGGGGACUGGCCCCUGGGUGGCGAAGCGAAAGCGAUAAGCAUUCCACCUGGGGAGUACGCCGGCAACGGUGAAACUCAAAGGAAUUGACGGGGGCCCGCACAAGCGGAGGAACAUGUGGUUUAAUUCGAUGAUACGCGAGGAACCUUACCCGGGCUCAAACGGGGAGUGACUCAGGCAGAGACGCCUGUUUCCCACGGGACACUCCCCGAGGUGCUGCAUGGUUGUCGUCAGCUCGUGCCGUGAGGUGUCGGCUUAAGUGCCAUAACGAGCGCAACCCCCGCGUGCAGUUGCUAACAGAUAACGCUGAGGACUCUGCACGGACUGCCGGCGCAAGCCGCGAGGAAGGCGGGGAUGACGUCAAAUCAGCACGGCCCUUACGUCCGGGGCGACACACGUGUUACAAUGGGUGGUACAGCGGGAAGCCAGGCGGCGACGCCGAGCGGAACCCGAAAUCCACUCUCAGUUCGGAUCGGAGUCUGCAACCCGACUCCGUGAAGCUGGAUUCGCUAGUAAUCGCGCAUCAGCCAUGGCGCGGUGAAUACAAUCCCGGGCCUUGCACUCACCGCCCGUCA
Molecule: ribosomal RNA, 1403 nt
Filed under: uncultured bacterium
Lineage: Bacteria
Description: 16S ribosomal RNA
Rfam family: Bacterial small subunit ribosomal RNA
Source: RNAcentral